CAGUCGCCGCGGUAAUACAGAGGGUGCGAGCGUUAAUCGGAUUUACUGGGCGUAAAGCGUGCGCAGGCGGUUUUGUAAGACAGAGGUGAAAUCCCCGGGCUCAACCUGGGAACUGCCUUUGUGACUGCAAGGCUAGAGUACGGCAGAGGGGGAUGGAAUUCCGCGUGUAGCAGUGAAAUGCGUAGAUAUGCGGAGGAACACCGAUGGCGAAGGCAAUCCCCUGGGCCUGUACUGACGCUCAUGCACGAAAGCGUGGGGAGCAAACAGGAUUAGAUACCCCUGUAGUCCCUGUCUCUUAUAC
Molecule: ribosomal RNA, 301 nt
Filed under: uncultured bacterium
Lineage: Bacteria
Description: partial 16S ribosomal RNA
Rfam family: Bacterial small subunit ribosomal RNA
Source: RNAcentral